GAUGCAGUGUACCCGCGGCAAGACGGAAAGACCCCGUGAACCUUUACUAUAGCUUGACACUGAACAUUGAGCCUUGAUGUGUAGGAUAGGUGGGAGGCUUUGAAGUGUGGACGCCAGUCUGCAUGGAGCCGACCUUGAAAUACCACCCUUUAAUGUUUGAUGUUCUAACGUGGACCCGUUACCCGGGUUGCGGACAGUGUCUGGUGGGUAGUUUGACUGGGGCGGUCUCCUCCUAAAGAGUAACGGAGGAGCACGAAGGUUGGCUAAUCCUGGUCGGACAUCAGGAGGUUAGUGCAAUGGCAUAAGCCAGCUUGACUGCGAGCGUGACGGCGCGAGCAGGUGCGAAAGCAGGUCAUAGUGAUCCGGUGGUUCUGAAUGGAAGGGCCAUCGCUCAACGGAUAAAAGGUACUCCGGGGAUAACAGGCUGAUACCGCCCAAGAGUUCAUAUCGACGGCGGUGUUUGGCACCUCGAUGUCGGCUCAUCACAUCCUGGGGCUGAAGUAGGUCCCAAGGGUAUGGCUGUUCGCCAUUUAAAGUGGUACGCGAGCUGGGUUUAGAACGUCGUGAGACAGUUCGGUCCCUAUCUGCCGUGGGCGCUGGAGAACUGAGGGGGGCUGCUCCUAGUACGAGAGGACCGGAGUGGACGCAUCACUGGUGUUCGGGUUGUCAUGCCAAUGGCACUGCCCGGUAGCUAAAUGCGGAAGAGAUAAGUGCUGAAAGCAUCUAAGCACGAAACUUGCCCCGA
RNAcentral lists this ribosomal RNA (745 nucleotides) under Salmonella enterica. RNAcentral describes it as "partial 23S ribosomal RNA". It matches the Rfam family "Bacterial large subunit ribosomal RNA", at positions 2058 to 2802 of the family's 2925-position model. Lineage: Bacteria; Pseudomonadati; Pseudomonadota; Gammaproteobacteria; Enterobacterales; Enterobacteriaceae. The record is from RNAcentral.